RNAcentral lists this ribosomal RNA (1975 nucleotides) under Lentomitella striatella. RNAcentral describes it as "eukaryotic LSU rRNA". It matches the Rfam family "Eukaryotic large subunit ribosomal RNA", at positions 1 to 1820 of the family's 3401-position model. The record is from RNAcentral. Lineage: Eukaryota; Fungi; Ascomycota; Sordariomycetes; Xenospadicoidales; Xenospadicoidaceae.
GGUUGACCUCGGAUCAGGUAGGAAUACCCGCUGAACUUAAGCAUAUCAAUAAGCGGAGGAAAAGAAACCAACAGGGAUUGCCUCAGUAACGGCGAGUGAAGCGGCAACAGCUCAAAUUUGAAAUCUGGCCCUGUGCCCGAGUUGUAAUUUGUAGAGGAUGCUUUCGGCGCGGCGCCUUCCGAGUUCCCUGGAACGGGACGCCACAGAGGGUGAGAGCCCCGUAUGGUUGGAUGCCAAGCCAUUGUAUAGCUCCUUCGACGAGUCAAGUAGUUUGGGAAUGCUGCUUAAAAUGGGAGGUAAAUUUCUUCUAAAGCUAAAUACCGGCCAGAGACCGAUAGCGAAAAAGUAGAGUGAUCGAAAGAUGAAAAGCACUUUGAAAAGAGGGUUAAACAGCACGUGAAAUUGUUGAAAGGGAAGCGCUUGUGACCAGACCUGCGCCCUGGGGAUAUCCGGCGUUCUCGCCGGUACUUUCCGCUGGGCUGCAGGCCAGCAUCGGUUUUCCUAGGGGGAUAAAAGCUUCGGGAACGUGGCUCCUUCGGGAGUGUUAUAGCCCGUCGUACAAUACCCUUGGGGGGACCGAGGUACGCGCUCCGCAAGGAUGCUGGCGUAAUGGUCAUCAGCGACCCGUCUUGAAACACGGACCAAGGAGUCAAGCAUUAGGGCGAGUGUAUGGGUGCAAAACCCGCACGCGAAAUGAAAGUGAACGUAGGUGAGAGCUUCGGCGCAUCAUCGACCGAUCCUGAAGUCUUCGGAUGGAUUUGAGUAAGAGCCUUACCGCUUGGACCCGAAAGAUGGUGAACUAUGCCUGUAUAGGGUGAAGCCAGAGGAAACUCUGGUGGAGGCUCGCAGCGGUUCUGACGUGCAAAUCGAUCGUCAAAUAUGGGCAUGGGGGCGAAAGUAAGUUAUACCGUUUUUUCAUACGGGAUUAUCUUAAAUAUAAGCUGUUACUAACGAUCUUUAUAGGACUAAUCGAACUAUCUAGUAGCUGGUUACCGCCGAAGUUUCCCUCAGGAUAGCAGUGUUGUUUUCAGUUUUAUGAGGUAAAGCGAAUGAUUAGGGACUCGGGGGCGCUAUUUUGCCUUCAUCCAUUCUCAAACUUUAAAUAUGUAAGAAGCCCUUGUUACUUUGUUGAACGUGGGCCUUCGAAUGCAGCAACACUAGUGGGCCAUUUUUGGUAAGCAGAACUGGCGAUGCGGGAUGAACCGAACGCGGGGUUAAGGUGCCAGAGUGGACGCUCAUCAGACACCACAAAAGGCGUUAAUACAUCUUGACAGUAGGACGGUGGCCAUGGAAGUCGGAAUCCGCUAAGGACUGUGUAAGUAAAACCAUCCCUCUCCACUGUCGGAAGUUGAUUCCCUGGUGAAAAAAAACCGGGAUUCAACAACCGUAUAAUAUAAUUCUCGCCUAAUAAUACCAAUACUAACAAUUCUUUUAUAGGUAACAACUCACCUACCGAAUGUAUUAGCCCUGAAAAUGGAUGGCGCUCAAGCGUCCCACCCAUACCCCGCCCUCAGGGUAGAAACGAUGCCCUGAGGAGUAGGCGGCCGCGGGGGCGGUGACGAAGCCCAGGGCGUGAGCCCGGGUCGAACCGCCUCUGGUGCAGAUCUUGGUGGUAGUAGCAAAUACUUCAAUGAGAACUUGAAGGACCGAAGUGGGGAAAGGUUCCAUGUGAACAGCGGUUGGACGUGGGUUAGCCGAUCCUAAGCCAUAGGGAAGUUCCGUUUCAAAGGGGCACUCGUGCCCCGCAUGGCGAAAGGGAAGCAGGUCAAUAUUCCUGCGCCUGGAUGCGGGUUUUUCGCGGCAACGCAACUGAACGCGGAGACGGCGGCGGGGGCCCCGGGCAGAGUUCUCUUUUCUUCUUAACGGUCUGCCACCCUGAAAACAGUUUGUCUGGAGAUAGGGUCCCAUGGCCGGAAGAGCCCAGCACCUCUGCUGGGUCCGGUGCGCCCCCGACGUCCCUUGAAAAUCCGCGGGA